This 492-nucleotide ribosomal RNA is filed under the name uncultured bacterium. RNAcentral's name for it is "partial 16S ribosomal RNA". It matches the Rfam family "Bacterial small subunit ribosomal RNA", at positions 30 to 507 of the family's 1533-position model. The record is from RNAcentral.
AGUGAACGCUGGCGGUAGGCCUAACACAUGCAAGUCGAACGGCAGCACAGUAAGAGCUUGCUCUUACGGGUGGCGAGUGGCGGACGGGUGAGGAAUACAUCGGAAUCUACUUUUUCGUGGGGGAUAACGUAGGGAAACUUACGCUAAUACCGCAUACGACCUACGGGUGAAAGCAGGGGAUCUUCGGACCUUGCGCGAUGGAAUGAGCCGAUGUCGGAUUAGCUAGUUGGCGGGGUAAAGGCCCACCAAGGCGACGAUCCGUAGCUGGUCUGAGAGGAUGAGCACCAACACGGGAACUGAGACGCGGCCGAGACCCGGAGGGGGGGAGGCAGGGGGAAUGUUUGGACAGGGGGCGAAAGCCGUCCCCACCCAUACGGGGGGGGUAAAGAGGGCUUUGGGGUUGUAAGCCCUUUUUGUGGGGAAAAAAAAGCAGCAGGUAAAUCCCCCGCUUUUCGCAGGGAACCAAAAAAAAAAGCCCGGGCUAGCUUCGUC